This 369-nucleotide ribosomal RNA is filed under the name uncultured organism. Its description in RNAcentral is "bacterial SSU rRNA". It matches the Rfam family "Bacterial small subunit ribosomal RNA", at positions 526 to 896 of the family's 1533-position model. The record is from RNAcentral.
CGAAGGAUGCAAGCGUUAUCCGGAUUCAUUGGGUUUAAAGGGUGCGUAGGCGGACCUGUAAGUCAGUGGUGAAAUCUCUCAGCUUAACUGAGAAACUGCCAUUGAUACUGCAAGUCUAGAGUAUAGAUGACGUUGGCGGAAUAUGACAUGUAGUGGUGAAAUACUUAGAUAUGUCAUAGAACACCGAUUGCGAAGGCAGCUAACGAAACUAUAACUGACGCUGAGGCACGAAAGUGCGGGGAUCAAACAGGAUUAGAUACCCUGGUAGUCCGCACCGUAAACGAUGAUUACUCGUUGUUGGCGAUAUGACAGUCAGCGACCAAGCGAAAGCGAUAAGUAAUCCACCUGGGGAGUACGCCGGCAACGGUG